This 436-nucleotide ribosomal RNA is filed under the name Streptococcus sp. oral taxon 070. RNAcentral describes it as "bacterial SSU rRNA". It matches the Rfam family "Bacterial small subunit ribosomal RNA", at positions 28 to 454 of the family's 1533-position model. Lineage: Bacteria; Bacillati; Bacillota; Bacilli; Lactobacillales; Streptococcaceae. The record is from RNAcentral.
GACGAACGCUGGCGGCGUGCCUAAUACAUGCAAGUAGAACGCUGAAGCUUGGUGCUUGCACCGAGCGGAUGAGUUGCGAACGGGUGAGUAACGCGUAGGUAACCUGCCUGGUAGCGGGGGAUAACUAUUGGAAACGAUAGCUAAUACCGCAUAAAAUGGAUUAUCGCAUGAUAAUCCAUUGAAAGGUGCAAAUGCAUCACUACCAGAUGGACCUGCGUUGUAUUAGCUAGUUGGUGGGGUAACGGCUCACCAAGGCGACGAUACAUAGCCGACCUGAGAGGGUGAUCGGCCACACUGGGACUGAGACACGGCCCAGACUCCUACGGGAGGCAGCAGUAGGGAAUCUUCGGCAAUGGACGGAAGUCUGACCGAGCAACGCCGCGUGAGUGAAGAAGGUUUUCGGAUCGUAAAGCUCUGUUGUAAGAGAAGAACGAGU